AUGAAUAAGAGAUACUUACAGAAAGCAACAAAAGGAAAACUGCUAAUAAUAAUAUUUGUUGUAACACUGUGGGGGAAAUUAGCAUCUGGUGCAAAUCAUCACAAAGCUCACCAUGUUAAAACUGGGACCUGUGAAGUGGUGGCGCUCCACAGAUGUUGUAAUAAGAACAAGAUAGAAGAAAGGUCACAGACGGUGAAGUGCUCCUGCUUCCCUGGGCAGGUAGCAGGUACCACCCGGGCAGCUCCUUCUUGUGUUGAUGCUUCAAUAGUGGAGCAGAAAUGGUGGUGCCAUAUGCAACCAUGUCUUGAAGGGGAAGAAUGUAAAGUUCUUCCAGAUCGGAAGGGAUGGAGCUGUUCCUCUGGGAAUAAAGUGAAAACAACUAGGGCAAACGUGUAAAACUCUUCAAGUCCGAAUGGAGAAGUAGAAAAAGGAGGUUUCUGCUGUGCCUGAUGACAAUUUUUGAUUUUUCCACACACAUAAAAUAUUCUGGCUCCGCGUUGGAGCACUAGUUGUGAUGAAUCCUAGUCUUGGUCGGAUUCUAAGGAAGGGCCAGACGUUCGUUGAGGAAUAAAGAGUCAAACCACUCCAGAAAAUGUGUUCCAGCCCUGGUUUAUUACUCACAGAGCAGCAGGUAACCCGAUAGCUAAAGACAAAUCAAGUCAACCUCGAGGCUGGUAACGUUAAACACAUCACGCAGGAAUUUCAUUCCUCCAGGCAAUCCUUGAAGUGAAAUUUUAUACUACUGGGUUGUAUCCUUCAGAAUCAAUUGUUUGAGUGAGAAUCUGGCUUGUAAUGAGCAGCAGCCUUGAGAUCAAAAAUACUGGAAAGUUAUUUUGAACUUCUAUGUCAAAAAGAUUUUUGACUAAUUGAACUGUGUACACUUGUAAAAUUGCACUUGUGGAGGAAUUUGCAGCUGUAAUCGCAAGAGGUGAUAUUCAAAAGGUGCAGAAAGGCAGCAGUCUCUCAGAUUCUCCGUUCCAGACUGGUGGCUUUUCAUCUUGAUGAAGUCAGCCUCCAAAAUGUACUGGUUCUGUCUCUCUAAACUGAACCCUGGUCGAGCAUUCAGAUUGCUGGUGGACUGCACACUGCUUUAAUUAAAUUUCUGUUGCAGAAAUUGUCCUCUGGCAUGGCACAGCUUUAGACAUUUUUAUUUGAAUUCUAAUCUUGCAGCUCUGAAAGGUACAUAUUUCAACAUCUUGAAGUUGCUUUUGUUAUAGGAAUGGAAAUAUAUAUCCAUUGUUAAUAAUUAUUGUUGACAAGUAAUAGUUAUCUGAAUACAUCAGUCAUAUUAGAAUGUAUAGUCAGGUUGACAUGUUUCCCUAAGGCUAACCAACUACUGCAGCUCUUUGGCAGUUAAACAAGCAGUGGUCAAAACUCAAUUACCACUUCCAUUAUAAGGCAUUUUAUACCUUUAAAAUAUACAUUUCCAUUUAGUUUGCAGGAGAUGGGUGUUCCUGUUAUGUACUUUACUCUCCUAACCUUUAAUUCUUUGAAAUUCAUGGUAGGCAGUCAAUGACACUGUUUUAUCCCUUUUUAUAAAGGUAGGCAGGGAUGUGUAUGAGUUUUGCAAUUCUGAAAUUGGAUGGUACUUAUUCAGAUCUUUUUUUUUAAUUAAAAAAUAAAAUCUAUUGCUUGAAUCCAAGUACUGUUGGAUGCUUAUGUAGAUGUCUGCUCACUCUGUUUGCUAUAAAGGAAAAAGCGCUUACAGUCAUCCAAUUCAGAUCUUCUGAUCCUUGCCAAAAUCAUUAUCUCAUGACAACAUUUACUUUUUAUUUUCUAUUUCAGCAGCAAUUUUUUGAACUUUGCGAUGUGUUGUUCCAUAAAAAAAAUCCUCAAUAUCUAAAGGCCUUAAGCAUCUUUGAGCUUUUUUCUAAGUUACUAUAGAAUGUAUAAUUUUAUAAUCCAUUUAAUGUAUAUUGUACCAUCUGUAAUACUGAUAUAACAGAGAGCUGGCAAUUCCUUUUAGUGACGCUGCAUAAGCAUGCUGAAUGGAGAGGGUGAGAUAGUUCUGAUUUGUUUGCUUUGGUGCACUGAAAUUAAAACCACAAACACUUGAUAGUUGUCAAAAGUAUAUAGGGGCAAACUUAUUUAAAUGUCCUAGGUGGUUACCAGACUCUCACGGAAAGAGGGAAACCCUUUUAUCAUUACCAGCCAUUGACAUGGCUAGGUAGUUAUAAAUUAAGUUCCAUGAUGGAUGAACACCCUGGAGUGCUCUGUCUUUUGCAGUAUCCCCUGCUGUUCCAAAACCAUUUCAUUACCUCUGCUGUAUUAUUGCACAGGAGAGCUUAAAAUAAAUGAUUGUUGGAAAUAAAAUUGAGAUAUGUAUUUUAUCAUUCUGCUGAGGAAUAAUCAAAGAUGUUGGCAGAGAAAGAUAUUCUUUUCUGGUUAAAAUUUAAUUAGGAUAAACUGUUUGUAGCAGAACUAGGUGUCUCAGUAUUUUAGGGUGGAAUAAUAUUGUAUGGAUUUGUGCUAACAGGUGGGAGAGAAGGUAGCAUCUUAAAGAGAUUCUUUUUUUGGGACAGUGCAAAGUAUUAAUGUGCUGUUUUGUAAAAUCUGAAUAUGGCCUCUCUUUGGUCAAAAAUCUGCAUCAUGCUUCUCAAUAUUUGUUUUUUUGUUUCUUUGUUCUUAAACCAACACUGAAAAAACUGUAUUAUAUACAAGUGUAACACAUGCAUAUCAAUAAGUGAAAAUAAAUGGAUUUUCAAAUACACUAAAUAGAUUAUCUGCAGUAGAUUAAUGUUGUGAAUAUUCAUAAUAAGUGAAUAAAAUUGUGAUAUAAAAUGGA
This is a non-coding RNA of Struthio camelus australis, 2785 nucleotides long. The record is from RefSeq and is a predicted model, not a curated record. NCBI's taxonomy places the organism in Eukaryota, Metazoa, Chordata, Aves, Struthioniformes, Struthionidae.